GAUGAACGCUGGCGGCGUGCCUAAUACAUGCAAGUCGAGCGAACAGAUGAGGAGCUUGCUCCUCUGACGUUAGCGGCGGACGGGUGAGUAACACGUGGAUAACCUACCUAUAAGACUGGGAUAACUUCGGGAAACCGGAGCUAAUACCGGAUAAUAUAUUGAACCGCAUGGUUCAAUAGUGAAAGACGGUUUUGCUGUCACUUAUAGAUGGAUCCGCGCCGCAUUAGAUAGUUGGUAAGGUAACGGCUUACCAAGGCAACGAUGCGUAGCCGACCUGUGAGGGUGAUCGGCCACACUGGAACUGAGACACGGUCCAGACUCCUACGGGAGGCAGCAGUAGGGAAUCUUCCGCAAUGGGCGAAAGCCUGACGGAGCAACGCCGCGUGAGUGAUGAAGGUCUUCGGAUCGUAAAGCUCUGUUAUUGGGGAAGAACAAAUGUGUAAGUAACUAUGCACGUCUUGACGGUACCUAAUCAGAAAGCCACGGCUAACUACGUG
RNAcentral lists this ribosomal RNA (497 nucleotides) under uncultured bacterium. RNAcentral describes it as "partial 16S ribosomal RNA". It matches the Rfam family "Bacterial small subunit ribosomal RNA", at positions 28 to 507 of the family's 1533-position model. The record is from RNAcentral.